UACGUAGGGGGCGAGCGUUGUCCGGAUUUACUGGGCGUAAAGGGCACGCAGGCGGUCCUGUCAGUUUCUAGUGACAGGUCAGAGCUUAACUCUGACAGGCCUAGAAAGACGGCAGGACUUGAGUACUUCAGAGGGACGCGGAAUUCCAGGUGGAGCGGUGAAAUGCGUAGAGAUCUGGAAGAACACCAAAGGCGAAGGCAGCGUCCUGGGAAGUUACUGACGCUCAGGUGCGAAAGCUAGGGGAGCGAACGGG
RNAcentral lists this ribosomal RNA (253 nucleotides) under uncultured bacterium. RNAcentral's name for it is "partial 16S ribosomal RNA". It matches the Rfam family "Bacterial small subunit ribosomal RNA", at positions 524 to 776 of the family's 1533-position model. The record is from RNAcentral.